Molecule: long non-coding RNA, 924 nt
Filed under: Sus scrofa (pig)
Lineage: Eukaryota; Metazoa; Chordata; Mammalia; Artiodactyla; Suidae
Description: lncRNA (ENSSSCG00035060833.1)
Source: RNAcentral
CUCAUUCCAGUUGCAGUCUUGAGCUCAGCAGAGGCUUGGAGAGCGUGAUGCUUCUACUCAGCCAUGAAAAGGAAGGAGAUGCUGCCGUUUGCAGCAACGUGGAUGGACCUAGAGGUGAUCAAGUGAAGUGAAUGUGCUAUGAGCAUCUCUGCAAUAAAAGCACCUUCGAAGGACACAGAGGGCGUCACUUCUGGAACAUCUGGGACAGGAUUUUUGCCCUGGUUUGGUGAUUUUCCAUAAAGACGGGUUACCUGAUGGGCCGUUUGGUGUCGUCUGAGCAAAGUUUAUCCAAGAGGCAGCUUCAUUCCUUUUGGACGAAUGCACAUUAUUUCCCCAUCAAGGGCCUUGAAUGCUGACCCCCAGGUGGGGCUAGGAUGUCACCAUGGACAGUGCUCGCUGGCAGGUACCAUUUUCUUUUCUGCCCCUGUGAAGAGGUACGGGACCAUUCAGCACGGUCACCUGCUCCACCAAUCUGCCACUCUCCAGGCGGCGCGUUCAACCUGGAAAAGAAGUUGAUCGAUCUCCAAGGAAACGGGUGGUGAUGUGGAUGCCCUGUUCCCUGGUAGCAGGUUCUCAGCCCACAGCCCAGACUGGAAGGCGGGGCUGUGCUCUCGGAUGGAUCUAGAGAUGGAAAAGUCCUGGAGGACCCAGUGAAUCAUGCCCUCUGACUCUGGGCCAGGUGGGUGUCGCCACCUGUUGUGUACACAUCGGCCUCGUUCUGAUUUCCCAUUCCUCUGGUGCACAGAAGAAUAAGGGUCAUAAAAAGAAAGUAAUAUGUCAAAGUCCAGUGGAAACAAGUUACGACAAAAGUGAAAGGGUAGCACUCAGAGGUGUCCAGAAACUCACAGGUGAGGGGGCCUGUCAUCCUAAUGGAUAUUGUGGCAUUUUGUCCCAUGGUUCUUUGUCGUUAUUAGUGACGACUGC